Molecule: long non-coding RNA, 1046 nt
Organism: Lutra lutra (Eurasian river otter)
Lineage: Eukaryota; Metazoa; Chordata; Mammalia; Carnivora; Mustelidae
Exons: 3
Source: RefSeq, a predicted model, not a curated record
CCUACUACCUCCUUGUGGACGAACGACACGAGGCUGCACAAACGAGGGCUUCACAACUUCGAACCACCAGAACAGCUCGGCCAUGAACACCAAAUAAUUACUCUGCGUAAGAGAGUUAAGAAAAAGAAAAAUCAGUUCCAGAAGGCUAUUGUGUAUGUAGAAAGUGAAGCAAAGAGAAGCAUCAAGGGUUUUAUCUCAAUUCCUGGGACCUUAAGGAUUCCUUCUUCCCAUAUUCCACAGUCCUGCUGAAUGCUAAAAGUGACUGGAACUUCCUUCAUGCUCCCAGCAUACCAUAAUAGCAUCUGUCUAAGAUUCAUGUAGUGACUUAUCCUCUAUUUUACUAACUUUAGGACAACAGGUCAGUUUUGUACCACAACUUUUCAGUUUAGCUUUGUAUUAUAAAAGAAACCCAUAGUGAACAGUGUAUUAAAACCUAAAAUAAGCAGAAAAAUAAAACUUUUUUCAAAAGCUUAUUUGACUGAUAUUAUAGUUAAUUUGUAAACUUAUAGUGACUAUGCCAUUUAUAGAUCUAGUUACAUAUAUAUUUUUUCAAAAUCUGAAAGCAAAACAAAACAAAAACACCAAGAAUUAUUUAAUUUACCUUGAUGGAUGAAGCAGCAUACAGCAUAUCUUCCAGGGUGAAAUGGCAACACUGGUUCAAAUAUUCUUGGCAAAAUUCUUGAAUCAGCUGCAGAUUAUACAGGCUAUCAGCCAAAGACAUGGUUUCUUUCAAACAAAUAUCUUUAAAUAGGAAAAGAGUGAGGUGAUGACUGUGGGUUAAUUUGAUAACAUACAUUUCAUAUCAUUUUAUAAUUAGUGGCUUAGUACAAACACAUAUUUAUGUGGAAUCUGUUUUACACACACUUACAAAUAAAGGGGCCUCUACACAAAGACUUAGCACUGUUUUAUUCAACUACCUUCCUCAGGAUUAUAUGUAAACUUUUUUUUUUUUUAAGCCUUCAUUACUUAUUAAAUACUGUUUUCUCAAUAUUUGUCACCAUCUAUCUACAGCCCACAAAUAUUUCACUGGGACACUUACCCUCUAU